GAUGAACGCUGGCGGCGUGCUUAACACAUGCAAGUCGAACGGAAAGGCCGAAGCUUGCUUCGGUACUCGAGUGGCGAACGGGUGAGUAACACGUGGGUGAUCUGCCCUGUACUUCAGGAUAAGCUUGGGAAACUGGGUCUAAUACCGGAUAUGACGAUCUCUUGGAUGGGGUUGUGGAAAGCUUUUGCGGUAUGGGAUGAGCUCGCGGCCUACCAGCUUGUUGGUGGGGUAAUGGCCUACCAAGGCGUCGACGGGUAGCCGGCCUGAGAGGGUGUACGGCCACAUUGGGACUGAGAUACGGCCCAGACUCCUACGGGAGGCAGCAGUGGGGAAUAUUGCACAAUGGGCGCAAGCCUGAUGCAGCGACGCCGCGUGGGGGAUGACGGCCUUCGGGUUGUAAACUCCUUUCGCAAUCGACGAAGCCUUUUGGUGACGGUAGGUUGAGAAGAAGCACCGGCUAACUACGUG
This 468-nucleotide ribosomal RNA is filed under the name uncultured bacterium. RNAcentral describes it as "partial 16S ribosomal RNA". It matches the Rfam family "Bacterial small subunit ribosomal RNA", at positions 28 to 507 of the family's 1533-position model. The record is from RNAcentral.